CUGUGCCGGGCCUCCCUUCCCGCUGCUUUAGGCGCCGGAGGGUCCCUGAUGGCCGAGAGAGGAAGCAGCCAUGGUUCUCACCAUGGGAUACCUGCAAUUCCUCCAGCGCUUUUGGUAAUGAAUCACUUAAUUUGCAGAGCCUUUCAGCUGAACAGAUUCCCUCUUACUUGGGACAGGUCUUGUUGUUGGAGCCCUCUGCCUCUGGUGUGAAUGUGAUCAGAUGUUGAGAGGGAUGAGGCCAUCCUGUGUAGGAGGCAGAAGCAGAUUGCCUAUGGAAAGAACACUGUGGGCUACCAGCUCUUCCUUCAGCAAGUCCUCAGCCAGAUUCAUCCUCCUAUUCCAAACAAGUACAAGAAAUAUAGCUGCUGCUCUUGGGAUGUGGAGAUGAGCUCUGUGUGCCUGGGACCCUUCUAACAGGUAUCCUACUCAGGAUGGGCAAGGACUUCUGGAAGACACUUUUGUCCAUUGUCCUAGGUGUCUAUUCAGUCGUAUCUGAGAUGCCCUUUGAGGGAAGGGAGAAUGGAGGAAGUGUAGUCAUGCUAAUCUUGGACCUCUCAAACCUGAGUAUCCUCCUCUGGGCUCUCACUUGACACUGGCUGUCACAUUUCUGUUCUCAGGCAGCCCAAACACAUUGACCGAACUUAUUGUGCAUAGCAGGCAUCUUGUGAGACUUUGUGCUCUGUGGCACCUGAGGUCUCUUCAGAGGAGAGAUUAAGACAUUGCCCUGAUGCCUGCCAGCUCUUCUGAACACUGCUUCCCUCUCUGCAGUGUUCAGCAUCAAUUCUGCCAUCCUGGUAGCUGCUUUCUGAGGACUGGAGAAGAAUAAAAUGCAGUCUCCUGUGCUUGCACAGUCACCUAUCUCUGUCCCAUCAGUGCUGUGGUGACUGGAGUCUGAAAUGCUCUGGGACACAGAUCGAGGCUAUAGGCAUCUGUUAUCCUGAUGUCCCUUCCCUCUGUGCCACAGCAGAACACCUGCUAGGUGUACCUGACCACUUCACCCCGUGUCAGAGAAACAGCCCUGCUCGCAAUGGCAUCAAGGAACUCUGCUGUUUCUUGUCUGGACUGGUGAAUGAGAUGGCUGGCUGCUCCCUUGGGAUCCGCAGCAGCGUGCUCCAGUGACCUGCAACCUCAAGAAACCCUGCGAGGAGGGGCCGGUAUGUCCGAGCCCUGCUAGCGGUGCUGAGGCGGCUGGGCGGCUGAUGGGCUCGGCACCCCACGGAGCUGCUCUUUGCUCUGGCCCCGCAGCUCCAGCCAGCGCCUCCGGGUCCCGCGUCGCCGUGCCUCCCCCGGGACGACCGCGUUGCCUGGCCGCGCCGCCCGGUCCGAAGCGCUCCCGGCACGUCUCGGUGCCGAGCGCCGCCGCAGCGCGGGGAACGCGGGCGCGCUGCUCACGGGGCAGCGGCAGCGCCGCAGGAGCGGCCGCCCGGUGAGUGCCCGCGGGACCGCCCCGCCGUCUGCAACGGCCGCGCGCUCACCGGUUCGGUCCCGGCCGCUCCUCCGCCCAGCGGCCGCCGGUCGCGCCCCUUCUCCUCCCUUCCCCGCGGCGGGAGGGGUUGGGGCUGGCUCAGCGCUGGGGCCGGCCGACAGCUCUCCUCUGAGCCUCGAUUAAGCCCGGCUUCGGCUUUCCCUUCUGCUUCCCGUCCGCGUCCCAGAUCAGGAUCGAAAUGGCCAUUGACAACCAGAACGUAAACAUGCUGGUUUACGUUUGGAUCCGAGUUAUUACAAGAUUUCAAGUCAUUACCUUAAUUUAAUCUGUAAGCAGUUGUAAUUGUUACAUUAUACUGAAAUGCUCUUUGUUCCAUCGAGUCAGAGCAAGUCAGAGUAUUCUGACGGUGACCAAGAACUGGUGCCUAAGAAAUCAGGUUGGAAGAUUUUUCCAGCAGCAAUCCUGGUUUCCAGUGAUCUGCCACUAAAGGAUUUCCCAAGUUGGAAGUGUUUAGUAGUCCUGAGUGUGCUUUUCUUUUGUCAAUGUGAUGGGUGGGUAUGGAGGUUUUGUUUCUUUUCUGAUCAUUGUAAACUUGUCGCAUUCCUAGCGAAGAGUUCCACUGUUCAACUAAUUGAAGGGGAGCUGGGGGUAGUGGUGGUGGUGCAGAAAUAGGUGCUUGACACUUGUUUGGAACCUGCCAGUUCAAUUUGGUACUCAUAGUCAGCCUUUGUUCGCUCUUUCCAGACAAUUCAAGAGUCUAUAGAACUCUGUCUACCCUGCCUCACUGUCUUUUUCCAAAGUUAAUAAUUGUCUUAAUUUCACUGCUUUUUGUACAGAGGUGUUCCACAGCUUUCCUCAUUUUCAAUGCCUUCUGUAGAAUUGUGAGUGUGCACAUGCACCUCCAGAAGGUGAUUGGAUAGCUCAACACCUAUUCUUAUGCUUGCUUUCUGCAUUGUUGACAAACUGACAUUUGGGAGAACGGGAGCGGGGGAAAGAAUGGUUCUUCUGUCAUCUUUUAUCUGCUACAGAGCCUUCAGAGAUUGCUGGAGGUAGCAAAUCUCUGCCCACUGACUUAACGGUCUUUGGGUCAGGAUCUGUACUUGUAAAGAAACAGAGCUAGAGGGAACAGGUAGAGGUCCUCUGGUCUAUCCUGCUCUCCCAAGGAAGACCAGAAGUUCACCUGUUGUCAGCUUGAGAUACUCUUGUAAAAACAACCAUACUGGGUCAAUUGAAAGUCUUUCUAAUGAAUAUGCUGUUUCUGAAGGCACCUGUAAAAUAGUUUUCAUUCUCAGCACUUUGUUUUUGUUUGUUUAACAUACGGUCUUGUUUGAAUUCUCCCUAGUUUGUGUCCUCCCAACAUCUCUGGAUAGCUAAUGUUUUAAGCAUUGACUGUAGUUCAUCCUUAUGGAUGAUGUUCAGCAGUGUAUGCCUUGGGAGGCAUAAAAGAUAGGAUAUGUAAUGAUACUACCCUAAAAUGCUCUCCAGCAGCUAGCCACUGAGUAGUAUUAAUUACAAAGACAUUUACAGUAGUUGAAUCUAGUUCAUGAUUCCCUAGCUUGACCACAAUACCACAGCAGUUUCAGAAGGCUCGCUAGAGUCAAGAUAGGUGAUCUUUUCUGCUUCUUCUUUAUAGAUAACGGCUGUUACUUUGAAAGAGAAAACAGAUUAAUUCUUGACAAACUGUGUUGGAGAUGAGUAGUAGUCUUAGUGAUUUCCACAAACAACUUACAUGGACCAGAUUAUUAUUAUUUUUUAAAUUAUAGGCAAAUUCAUUGGUUCAUAAUCCUUAGCUUAUCUUCUUGUCUUUUUCCACAUAGGCAGGUUUUGGCCUCUUUCACACUCCUGGUAUCUGAUUCACCCUUCAUGAAUCUGUCAUUAUUUCAACCAGUUCAUGAAAUAUCCUGAGAUAUUUAAAGGUCUUCAGACCCAGCGAGCCUGAAAAUACGGCAUUUUUCUAAGCACUCUCUAUGCUUUUGUUGUCUGUAUCUUUGCCAGAUAUUCUUGUUAUUGUUUAACUGCCCUUGUCACCAGCUCACAGUUCCCAUUAUCACCAUCUGUCCUUUUGCUCACCAAAUCCCAACGUACAGCAGGAGAAAGGCACAUAGAUUUGUUAAAACAUACAGUGGUGUAUCUGAAUGGAAUUUGGGAGCUGUUGAAGAAAAGGGCCAUGUUAAAGUAGAUCAGUUGUAUGGAUUUCAGAUCAGGUA
Grus americana (Whooping crane) is the source of this 3633-nucleotide long non-coding RNA. RefSeq lists it as uncharacterized. The transcript is spliced from 3 exons. The record is from RefSeq and is a predicted model, not a curated record. Lineage: Eukaryota; Metazoa; Chordata; Aves; Gruiformes; Gruidae.